UCUCAGCUAUCUCAGUCGGUAGUGUGUGAGACUCUUAAUCUCAGGGUCGUGGGUUUGAGCCCCACGUUGGGAG
This 73-nucleotide transfer RNA is filed under the name Oryctolagus cuniculus (rabbit). Its description in RNAcentral is "tRNA-Lys (CTT) (tRNA-Lys-CTT-22-1)". It matches the Rfam family "tRNA". From Rfam's summary of the family: Transfer RNA (tRNA) molecules are approximately 80 nucleotides in length. Their secondary structure includes four short double-helical elements and three loops (D, anti-codon, and T loops). Lineage: Eukaryota; Metazoa; Chordata; Mammalia; Lagomorpha; Leporidae. The record is from Rfam by way of RNAcentral.